This 664-nucleotide ribosomal RNA is filed under the name uncultured Dolichospermum sp. RNAcentral describes it as "bacterial SSU rRNA". It matches the Rfam family "Bacterial small subunit ribosomal RNA", at positions 99 to 796 of the family's 1533-position model. The record is from RNAcentral. Lineage: Bacteria; Bacillati; Cyanobacteriota; Cyanophyceae; Nostocales; Aphanizomenonaceae.
CGGACGGGUGAGUAACGCGUAAGAAUCUACCUUCAGGUUCGGGACAACCACUGGAAACGGUGGCUAAUACCGAAUGUGCCGAGAGGUGAAAGGCUUGCUGCCUGAAGAAGAGCUUGCGUCUGAUUAGCUAGUAGGUGUGGUAAAGGCGCACCAAGGCGACGAUCAGUAGCUGGUCUGAGAGGAUGAUCAGCCACACUGGGACUGAGACACGGCCCAGACUCCUACGGGAGGCAGCAGUGGGGAAUUUUCCGCAAUGGGCGAAAGCCUGACGGAGCAAUACCGCGUGAGGGAGGAAGGCUCUUGGGUUGUAAACCUCUUUUCUCAGGGAAGAAAAAAAUGACGGUACCUGAGGAAUAAGCAUCGGCUAACUCCGUGCCAGCAGCCGCGGUAAUACGGAGGAUGCAAGCGUUAUCCGGAAUGAUUGGGCGUAAAGGGUCCGCAGGUGGCAUUGUUUGUCUGCUGUUAAAGAGUCUGGCUCAACCAGAUCAAAGCAGUGGAAACUACAAAGCUAGAGUAUGGUCGGGGCAGAGGGAAUUCCUGGUGUAGCGGUGAAAUGCGUAGAUAUCAGGAAGAACACCGGUGGCGAAGGCGCUCUGCUAGGCCAAAACUGACACUGAGGGACGAAAGCUAGGGGAGCGAAUGGGAUUAGAUACCCCAGUAGUCC